GAUGAAGAACGCAGCGAAAUGCGAUACGUAAUGUGAAUUGCAGAAUUCAGUGAAUCAUCGAAUCUUUGAACGCAUAUUGCGCUCUCUGGUAUUCCGGAGAGCAUGCUUGUUUGAGUAUCAGUAAACACCUCAACUCCCCUUUCUUUUUUGAAAUUGGAGCUGGACUUGAGUGAUCCCAACGCUUUCUUCCAAGAAAGUGGCGGGUUGCUUGAAAUGCAGGUGCAGCUGAACUUUUCUCUGAGCUAUAAGCAUAUCUAUUUAGUCUGCCUAAAAAACAGAUUAUUACCUUUGCUGCAGCUAACAUAAAGGAGACUAGUUCUUGUGCUGACUGAUGCAGGAUUCACAGAGACAGCUUCGGCUGACUUUGUAAACUCGAUCUCAAAUCAAGUAAGACUACCCGCUGAACUUAAGCAUAUCAAUAAGCGGAGGA
Molecule: unclassified non-coding RNA, 430 nt
Filed under: soil metagenome
Description: partial contains 5.8S ribosomal RNA, internal transcribed spacer 2, and large subunit ribosomal RNA
Rfam family: 5.8S ribosomal RNA (bases 1-120)
Source: RNAcentral